AGAGUUUGAUCAUGGCUCAGGAUGAACGCUAGCGGGAGGCCUAACACAUGCAAGCCGAGCGGUAUAAUUCUUUCGGGAAUUAGAGAGCGGCGUAUGGGUGAGGAACACGUGUGCAACCUGCCUUUAUCUGGGAGAUAGCCUUUCGAAAGGAAGAUUAAUACCCCAUAAUAUAUUGAUUGGCAUCGAUUAAUAUUGAAAGCUCCGGCGGAUAGAGAUGGGCACGCGUAAGAUUAGAGAGUUGGUGAGGUAACGGCUCACCAAGUCUACGAUCUUUAGGGGGCCUGAGAGGGUGAUCCCCCACACUGGUACUGAGACACGGACCAGACUCCUACGGGAGGCAGCAGUGAGGAAUAUUGGACAAUGGGUGCAAGCCUGAUCCAGCCAUCCCGCGUGAAGGAUUAAGGUCCUAUGGAUUGUAAACUUCUUUUAUACAGGGAUAAACCUCUCCUCGUGAGGAGAGCUGAAGGUACUGUAUGAAUAAGCACCGGCUAACUCCGUGCCAGCAGCCGCGGUAAUACGGAGGGUGCAAGCGUUAUCCGGAUUUAUUGGGUUUAAAGGGUCCGUAGGCGGAUUCGUAAGUCAGUGGUGAAAGCCUACAGCUUAACUGUAGAACUGCCGUUGAUACUGCGAGUCUUGAGUGUAGUUGAGGUAGCUGGAAUGAGUAGUGUAGCGGUGAAAUGCAUAGAUAUUACUCGGAACACCAAUUGCGAAGGCAGGUUACCAAGUUACAACUGACGCUGAUGGACGAAAGCGUGGGGGAGCGAACAGGAUUAGAUACCCUGGUAGUCCACGCUGUAAACGAUGCUAACUCGUUUUUGGGUUUUCGGACUCAGAGACCAAGCGAAAGUGAUAAGUUAGCCACCUGGGGAGUACGUUCGCAAGAAUGAAACUCAAAGGAAUUGACGG
This 906-nucleotide ribosomal RNA is filed under the name uncultured bacterium. Its description in RNAcentral is "bacterial SSU rRNA". It matches the Rfam family "Bacterial small subunit ribosomal RNA", at positions 8 to 916 of the family's 1533-position model. The record is from RNAcentral.